Molecule: long non-coding RNA, 1568 nt
Filed under: Spirodela polyrhiza (greater duckweed)
Lineage: Eukaryota; Viridiplantae; Streptophyta; Magnoliopsida; Alismatales; Araceae
Description: long non-coding RNA (SPOL_LNC000530)
Source: RNAcentral
CCUGCUAGGAACUGAUCUUGUCUGAAUGUGAUCAAAUGACGCCCGCCUUGUCAUGUGCUAGGAUUGCCUCAAACCCUGCGGUUUCUUCAAAAUAGAGGGCAUCGUAGUAGGUUUCUUGCGUACGCCGCUCAGCAAGCCGUAGCAUAGUGUGAUCUUCACUCUGAAUCUAUCUCUACGUCAACAAUGGAGGGGGGGUGUACACUACUUCAUAAGACAGUCAAUGUACAACGUAGAAUUUCAUCAAGAAAAUGGUUUAACUGUAAGGAUAUUUUACUUGGCAAGACAAAGAUGUAACAAAAACUCUUAAUGAAAUUAACUGUUAAGAGGAAAAUAGAAAGAUGACGACACCAGAAGCCUUACCAGUGACUAUAUCAGUGCAAUUUGAUGGACAGAUGACCAGCGAUAUCAGCAAUCAUUUGUCUGAGGACAGAAAAAAGCUGAAUAAAUGUCUAGGGAUUAGGAUUUUCAAAAAAAUCUCGAUAGGCAACGAAAUUCCAAACGUCAUCGGCAACACAGAAAUAAGCGAGCAUUUAUGUCAACUGAGGACCAACUAAGUAGCUGAAGAGCUCCGCAUGAUGAAAUUAUUGAAGAAAAGAAUACGAUACAUAUACAUGCUGACAAGAAUCACGCCCUGCAGUUUCAUUGGAGAUGAAAAAGCCAAAAAGGCUUUCUAGAUGCCCAACUAUUCCAUCAAUAUGCGAAUGAUGAUAAAUUAUGGCCAAGAAUCGAAGCCUUUGAUUUCGAAACAAAGCACAACUUUUUAUUCGAUUAACUGCACGCGUCACAUUGCAGCCGCACAGAAUGCAGAACUGCACCACUAUGUCCUAAUUCCCCCAAGACAAAAUAUCACAUUGCGAGCCCCUCAAAACCACAAUAAAAAGGUUACAUCCCCAUCGAAAGCAGUAGUAGGCCUUGACGACGGUGAUUGUCGUACCACACCCACACGAAACUAGGACUAGCAGAACAGCGAGCCCCGCGUCCGCAGGCAGGGAAGAACUAAGAAUAGGCCAGCCGGCUCCUGCCGUCCCGAUGAUUCAUAAAGAUAAAACCAAGAGGGGAUCAGGGGGGUCAUAGCGGUUCGUGGAGAAAGAUUAAUAAUGAAAUUUUCUUAAGAAAUACAGAAAUAAAGUGUAACGAUGGAGAGAGGAUACAAUAUAUCGAAAAACUGAAAGUAACGACUCACUCGAGCGACAAAGAAUGAGCGACUAAGAGGCGAAGAAUCCCGCAUCUAAAGACACUUCAGACCAGUAAUUCUGACAAUAUUCAGAAGGUGAGUGACGCCGUCUCUGGUGGCGGCGGCUGUGGCACCUGAUGGCUGUCGCCAAUCGGCCCGGAACACCGAAAUAUACCCCACCAUGGAUUCAAAGCAAACAUAGUAAUGACCCAGAACCAGUAGCGAAGAAUCAUAAGCGGAGGAAAUAUCGAAGCAAAUGGAGGGGUCGGGGGUGGCGGGGGGAGGGGGAAUUCACGAACAAACCAUUCCAUGACGACCUCCAACCCGUCUGCUCCGGCGUUUACGGCAGCGGCGGAGAGGGAGAAGACUACAGAAUGGGUCUCUUCGAGAUGGG